This is a long non-coding RNA of Gorilla gorilla gorilla (western lowland gorilla), 527 nucleotides long. RefSeq lists it as uncharacterized. NCBI's taxonomy places the organism in Eukaryota, Metazoa, Chordata, Mammalia, Primates, Hominidae. The record is from RefSeq and is a predicted model, not a curated record. The transcript is spliced from 3 exons.
GGUUUCCUAGGAGACGGCCCGCGGGUUGCUCUCUGACUGAGAGCGGGAGGCUUCGGGACUGAGCCCUAGCUGCUGCGCUGGCCGAAGUUUUCUCGUCGGUAAAAUAGGAUAGCAGUGCACCAUAGGGUCGUUUUGAUAAAGAAGAAAGAAAGAAAUGAGGUCUCACUAUGUUGACAAGGCUGGUUUUGAACCCCUGGCCUCAAGCGGUCCUCGCACCUCAACCUCCCAAAGUGCUGGGAUUACAAGUGUGAGCCACCAUGCCUAGAUGAUACAGGCAUUCUCAAGCACAGCACCCAGCAACCUGAAUUGUGGCCAUAUCAGAACACAUCACCACCAGAUCAAAGAAUGAAAAAGUUAUCUGCUUUUUAAAUUAGACGUUUAGAAACCUGAUGAUGAGCAAGGAAAAGCCAAACACCGUUAAAGGUAUACAUUGCCUGAAGUCUAAAUUCCAUGUUUCCUUCCUGGAGAGCUUUCUGAAAAACAACACGAACCUGAUUCUCCCAUCUAGAGCUACCAGUCUAACAACU